This is a long non-coding RNA of Oncorhynchus tshawytscha (Chinook salmon), 1084 nucleotides long. The record is from Ensembl. Lineage: Eukaryota; Metazoa; Chordata; Actinopteri; Salmoniformes; Salmonidae.
UAGAGUAGAGGAUGGUAGAGUAGAGGAUGGUAAAGUAGAUGGUAGAGGAGAGGAUGGUAGAGUAGAGUAGAGGAUGAUAGAGGAGAGGAGAGGAUGGUAAAGUAGAGGAGAGGAUGGUAGAGUAGAGUAGAGGAUGGUAGAGUAGAGGAGAGGAUGGUAAAGGAGAGGAGAGGAUGGUAGAGUACAGGAUGGUAGAGUAGAAGAGAGGAUGGUAAAAUAGAGUAGAGGAUGGUAGAGUAGAGAAGAGGAUGGUAAAGUAGAGGAGAGGAUGGUAGAGUAGAGUAGAGGAUGGUAGAGUAGAGGAGAGGAUGGUAAAGGAGAGGAGAGGAUGGUAGAGUACAGGAUGGUAGAGUAGAAGAGAGGAUAGUAGAGUAGAGGAUGGUAGAGUAGAGAAGAGGAUGGUAAAUGAGAGGAGAGGAUAUAGAGUAGAGGAUGGUAGAGUAGAGUAGAGGAUGGUAAAGUAGAGUAGAGGAUGGUAAAAUAGAGUAGAGGAUGGUAGAGUAGAGAAGAGGAUGGUAAAGGAGAGGAGAGGAUGGUAGUGUAGAGUAGAGGAUGGUAGAGUAGAGGAUGGUAGAGGAGAGUAGAGGAUGGUAGAGUAGAGAAGAGGAUGGUAAAUGAGAGGAGAGGAUUAUAGUGUAGAGGAUGGUAGAGGAGAGGAUGGUAGAGUAGAGGAUGGUAGAGUAGAGGAGAGGAUGGUAGAGUAGAGUAGAGGAUGGUAGAGUAGAGGAUGGUAGAGGAGAGGAGAGGAUGGUAAAGGAGAGGAGAGGAUGGUAGAGUAGAGGAUGGUAGAGGUGAGGAGAGGAUGGUAGAGUAGAGGAGAGGAUGGUAGAGUACAGUAGAGGAUGGUAGAGUAGAGUAGAGGAUGGUAGAGUAGAGGAUGGUAGAGGAGAGGAGAGGAUGGUAGAGUAGAGUAGAGGAUGGUAGAGUAGAGUAAUGGAUGGUAGAGUAGAGGAGAAGAUGGUAGAGUAGAGGAGAGGAUGGUAGAGGAGAGUAGAGGAUGGUAGAGUAGAGUAGAGGAUGGUAGAGUAGAGGAGAAGAUGGUAGAGUAGAGGAAAGGAUGGUAAAGGAGAGGAGAGGAUGGUAG